Molecule: long non-coding RNA, 1022 nt
Filed under: Chlamydomonas reinhardtii
Lineage: Eukaryota; Viridiplantae; Chlorophyta; Chlorophyceae; Chlamydomonadales; Chlamydomonadaceae
Description: long non-coding RNA (CREI_LNC000466)
Source: RNAcentral
UCCUGAUCUCGACCCAGCACAACCCCGAUGUGACCAACGAGAAGAUUCGUGAGGACCUGAUGGAGCACGUGAUCAAGCCCGUGGUGCCGGCCAAGUACCUGGACGACAAGACCAUCUUCCACCUGAACCCCUCGGGCCGUUUCGUGAUUGGUGGCCCCCACGGCGACGCCGGUCUGACUGGCCGCAAGAUCAUCAUCGACACCUACGGCGGCUGGGGUGCCCACGGUGGUGGCGCCUUCUCGGGCAAGGACCCGACCAAGGUCGACCGCUCGGGCGCCUACAUCGCCCGCCAGGCCGCUAAGUCCGUCGUUGCGUCGGGCCUGGCCAAGCGGUGAGUGGGUAGCAGCUGGCAACUGUUUGGAAUGGUCAUGGAACCGAAGGGCUAUGGCAAGCGGGCCAGGAUUGGUAUUGUCAUCGUCUGAUGUGCCAUACGAGUUUGGCCUAACCUCGUGUCCGCACCAUGGCUCUGUCUCCUCCGCGUAACCUCUUGUCCUCGCCAUGGUUCCGUCUCCUCCGCCCCUGCAGCUGCCUGGUCCAGGUGUCGUACUCGAUCGCUGUGGCUGAGCCCCUGUCGGUGUUCGUUGACACCUACGGCACCGGCACCAUGCCCGAUGCCGAGAUCCUGAAGCUGAUCCGGAAGCACUUCGACUUCCGCCCCGGUGAGAACUGCUGUUGUGAGGGCUUACCCAGACUCAUGCGGUUCUGCUGUGGAUUCAAGGCUUUGAUGCUGACUCGCAGUGAUGGGAAUCUGUGGGACACCUGCAUGCAGUCCAAAGCGCAGAUCGCAUUGUGCAGUUUGCCUUGAUGCGCUCCGGUUUCCACCCAUCGAUUUUCCCAUGCACAGGCCUCAUCGGCAAGAACCUGGACCUGAAGCGCGGUGGCAACAAGCGGUACCAGAAGACGGCCGCUUACGGCCACUUCGGCCGCGACGAUCCCGACUUCACCUGGGAGACCGUGAAGAAGCUGGAGUAAGCGCGCUGCGUGCGUGCGCUCUGUCUGAUGAAGGAGCAUGGGCGUAGUGC